This 250-nucleotide ribosomal RNA is filed under the name uncultured prokaryote. RNAcentral's name for it is "partial 16S ribosomal RNA". It matches the Rfam family "Bacterial small subunit ribosomal RNA", at positions 524 to 773 of the family's 1533-position model. The record is from RNAcentral.
UACGUAGGGAGCAAGCGUUAUCCGGAUUUAUUGGGUGUAAAGGGUGCGUAGACGGGAAGCUAAGUUAGUUGUGAAAUUCCUCGGCUUAACUGAGGAACUGCAACUAAAACUGGUUUUCUUGAGUAUUGGAGAGGAAAGUGGAAUUCCUAGUGUAGCGGUGAAAUGCGUAGAUAUUAGGAAGAACACCGGUGGCGAAGGCGACUUUCUGGACAAUAACUGGCGUUGAGGCACGAAAGUGUGGGGAGCAAAC